This 564-nucleotide ribosomal RNA is filed under the name uncultured bacterium. RNAcentral's name for it is "bacterial SSU rRNA". It matches the Rfam family "Bacterial small subunit ribosomal RNA", at positions 355 to 909 of the family's 1533-position model. The record is from RNAcentral.
UGGGGAAUAUUGCACAAUGGGCGCAAGCCUGAUGCAGCCAUGCCGCGUGUGUGAAGAAGGCCUUCGGGUUGUAAAGCACUUUCAGUCGUGAGGAAGGUGGUAGUGUUAAUAGCACUAUCAUUUGACGUUAGCGACAGAAGAAGCACCGGCUAACUCCGUGCCAGCAGCCGCGGUAAUACGGAGGGUGCGAGCGUUAAUCGGAAUUACUGGGCGUAAAGCGCAUGCAGGUGGUUUGUUAAGUCAGAUGUGAAAGCCCGGGGCUCAACCUCGGAAUAGCAUUUGAAACUGGCAGACUAGAGUACUGUAGAGGGGGGUAGAAGUUUCAGGUGUAGCGGUGAAAUGCGUAGAGAUCUGAAGGAAUACCGGUGGCGAAGGCGGCCCCCUGGACAGAUACUGACACUCAGAUGCGAAAAGCGUGGGGAGCAAACAGGAUUAGAUACCCUGGUAGUCCACGCCGUAAACGAUGUCUACUUGGAGGUUGUGGCCUUGAGCCGUGGCUUUCGGAGCUAACGCGUUAAGUAGACCGCCUGGGAGUACGGUCGCAAGAUUAAAAGCUCAAAUGAA